CUACGGGUGGCUGCAGUAGGGAAUAUUGGUCAAUGGGUGAGAGCCUGAACCAGCCAUGCCGCGUGCAGGAAGACGGCCUUCUGGGUUGUAAACUGCUUUUAUCUGGGGAUAAAAAGGCCUUGCGAGGCACAUUGAAGGUACCAGAUGAAUAAGCACCGGCUAACUACGUGCCAGCAGCCGCGGUAAUACGUAGGGUGCAAGCGUUGUCCGGAUUUUUUGGGGUGAGAGGGUGGUUUAUCAGUCUAGUAGUGAAAUCCAACAGCUCAACUGUUGAUGUGCCAAUGAUACUGAUGGACUUGAGUACAGACGAGGUAGGCGGAAUUGACAGUGUAGCGGUGAAAUGCAUAGAUAUUGUCAAGAACACCGAUAGCGAAGGCAGCUUGCUAGCCUGUAACUGACGCUGAGGCACGAAAGUAUGGGGAUCAAACAGGAUUAGAUACCCCUGUAGUC
Molecule: ribosomal RNA, 450 nt
Filed under: uncultured bacterium
Lineage: Bacteria
Description: partial 16S ribosomal RNA
Rfam family: Bacterial small subunit ribosomal RNA
Source: RNAcentral